UUGAGAGUUUGAUUCUGGCUCAGAACGAACGCUGGCGGCAGGCUUAACACAUGCAAGUCGAACGAUAUAGUGGCAGACGGGUGAGUAACGCGUGGGAACGUACCUUUCACUACGGAAUAGCUCUUGGAAACGAGUGGUAAUACCGUAUACGCCCUUCGGGGGAAAGAUUUAUCGGUGAAAGAUCGGCCCGCGUUAGAUUAGCUAGUUGGUAGGGUAAUGGCCUACCAAGGCGACGAUCUAUAGCUGGUCUGAGAGGAUGAUCAGCCACACUGGGACUGAGACACGGCCCAGACUCCUACGGGAGGCAGCAGUGGGGAAUCUUGCACAAUGGGCGAAAGCCUGAUGCAGCCAUGCCGCGUGAAUGAUGAAGGCCUUAGGGUUGUAAAAUUCUUUCGCUAGGGAUGAUAAUGACAGUACCUAGUAAAGAAGCCCCGGCUAACUUCGUGCCAGCAGCCGCGGUAAUACGAAGGGGGCUAGC
Molecule: ribosomal RNA, 478 nt
Filed under: Tripos fusus
Lineage: Eukaryota; Dinophyceae; Gonyaulacales; Ceratiaceae
Description: partial Bacterial small subunit ribosomal RNA
Rfam family: Bacterial small subunit ribosomal RNA
Source: RNAcentral